UACGUAGGUGGCAAGCGUUGUCCGGACUUAUUGGGCGUAAAGCGAGCGCAGGCGGUUCCUUAAGUCUGAUGUGAAAGCCCACGGCUCAACCGUGGAAGGUCAUUGGAAACUGGGGAACUUGAGUGCAGAAGAGGAGAGUGGAAUUCCAUGUGUAGCGGUGAAAUGCGUAGAGAUAUGGAGGAACACCAGUGGCGAAGGCGGCUUCCUGGUCUGUAACUGACACUGAGGCGCGAAAGCGUGGGGAGCAAACAGGAUUAGAUACCCG
This 265-nucleotide ribosomal RNA is filed under the name uncultured prokaryote. RNAcentral's name for it is "partial 16S ribosomal RNA". It matches the Rfam family "Bacterial small subunit ribosomal RNA", at positions 524 to 788 of the family's 1533-position model. The record is from RNAcentral.